Molecule: long non-coding RNA, 630 nt
Filed under: Homo sapiens (human)
Lineage: Eukaryota; Metazoa; Chordata; Mammalia; Primates; Hominidae
Description: HSALNT0245229
Rfam family: Y RNA (bases 58-170)
Source: RNAcentral
GACGGUGAGACUCUGUCUCAAAAAAGAAAAAGAAAAAAAGAAAAAAUUCACCCCUUAGGCGGGUGCAAAGGUAGUGAGUAAUUUCAGUUAAUUGUUCACAGGCAGGUACAGAUCGAUCUCCUUGUUCUACUCUUUCCCUCCUUCUUACUACCGCUCCUGAGUAGUCUUAAAAGAAGAUUCAGCCCUAGCAGCAUCCUGGGAGCUAACCUGACUCCCACCCCAGGCUGGGCUGCACCUCCUUCCUGUUUUCUCGCCUUUUUUUUUUUUUUUUUUUUUCUGAGAUGAAGUUUCGCUCUGUCUCCCAGGCUAGAGUGCAGUGGUACAAUCUCAGCUCACUGCAAUCUCUGCCUCCCGGGUUCAAGCAAUUCUCCUGCCUCAGCCUCCGAAGUAGCUGGGAUUACAGGCACACGCCACUAUGCCUGGCUAAUUUUUGUAUUUUUAGUAGAGACGGGGUUUCACCAUAUCGGCCAGGUGGUCUUGAACUCUUGACCUCAAGUGAUCCGCCUGCCUCAGCCUCCCAAAGUGCUGGGAUUACAGGUGUGAGACACCGCACCUGGCCUGUUUUCUCACCUUAAUAGUGGUCCUCACACCACACUGGAGUGGAUCACCCCCUUCUUUAUUGUCACCCCC